UGCGGGUUGAUGUAACAGUAACAUAGCGGGCUCAUGCCCCGAAUUUGAAGGUGCGAAUCCUUUGCCUGCAU
This 71-nucleotide transfer RNA is filed under the name Ophiognomonia clavigignenti-juglandacearum. RNAcentral describes it as "tRNA-Met". It matches the Rfam family "tRNA". Rfam says of the family: Transfer RNA (tRNA) molecules are approximately 80 nucleotides in length. Their secondary structure includes four short double-helical elements and three loops (D, anti-codon, and T loops). Lineage: Eukaryota; Fungi; Ascomycota; Sordariomycetes; Diaporthales; Gnomoniaceae. The record is from RNAcentral.